ACAGCAGUCGCCGCGGGAAUACAGAGGGUGCGAGCGUUAAUCGGAUUUACUGGGCGUAAAGCGUGCGUAGGCGGCUUUUUAAGUCGGAUGUGAAAUCCCUGAGCUUAACUUAGGAAUCGCAUUCGAUACUGGGAAGCUAGAGUAUGGGAGAGGAUGGUAGAAUUCCAGGUGUAGCGGUGAAAUGCGUAGAGAUCUGGAGGAAUACCGAUGGCGAAGGCAGCCAUCUGGCCUAAUACUGACGCUGAGGUACGAAAGCAUGGGGAGCAAACAGGAUUAGAUACCCGUGUAGUCCCUGUCUCUUAUAA
Molecule: ribosomal RNA, 305 nt
Filed under: uncultured bacterium
Lineage: Bacteria
Description: partial 16S ribosomal RNA
Rfam family: Bacterial small subunit ribosomal RNA
Source: RNAcentral